Molecule: long non-coding RNA, 308 nt
Organism: Ornithodoros turicata
Lineage: Eukaryota; Metazoa; Arthropoda; Arachnida; Ixodida; Argasidae
Exons: 3
Source: RefSeq, a predicted model, not a curated record
UCCAAAACAUGUGGCGCACAGCCAGCGCGGCGUUCCUCCUCGUACAUCGGUUUCACCGGAACCUCACGGGGAACAACACGUGCUUCGAGUCAUCCUGUACCAGCUCCAUGCAUAUAUGUACUGGGGGACGUGCAGGGGACCCACAAUCACAUCGAUUGUUUCAACAGCAACUCAAUCGGAAGCUUUAUCACCAUGUCCUGCCUUCGUACCAUCUUCCUUUUCGCUCUCAUCUUUGGUACCAUGGCUCUUCUGGCUGAAGCUGCGCCAGAGCCUCUGCCGCAACCGGAAGGGGGACCCAUGCGCAUACG